UACAGAGGUCUCAAGCGUUGUUCGGAUUCAUUGGGAGUAAAGGGUGCGUAGGCGGCGCGGUAAGUCGGGUGUGAAAUCUCGGAGCUUAACUCCGAAACUGCAUUCGAUACUGCCGUGCUUGAGGACUGGAGAGGAGACUGGAAUUUACGGUGUAGCGGUGAAAUGCGUAGAUAUCGUAAGGAAGACCAGUGGCGAAGGCGGGUCUCUGGACAGUUCCUGACGCUGAGGCACGAAGGCCAGGGGAGCAAACGGG
Molecule: ribosomal RNA, 253 nt
Filed under: uncultured bacterium
Lineage: Bacteria
Description: partial 16S ribosomal RNA
Rfam family: Bacterial small subunit ribosomal RNA
Source: RNAcentral